RNAcentral lists this ribosomal RNA (117 nucleotides) under Ruminococcus sp. A254.MGS-254. The record is from RNAcentral. Lineage: Bacteria; Bacillati; Bacillota; Clostridia; Eubacteriales; Oscillospiraceae.
GCUGGUGUAUAUGACGCUGAGGUCCCACCUGUUCCCAUCCCGAACACAGAAGUUAAGCUCAGCGGUGCCGAAAAUACUUGGAGGGUGACUUCCCGGGAAGAUAGGUCUAUGCCAGCU